Molecule: non-coding RNA, 200 nt
Organism: Glossina fuscipes fuscipes
Lineage: Eukaryota; Metazoa; Arthropoda; Insecta; Diptera; Glossinidae
Source: Rfam
AUCGCUUCUUGGCCUUUAUGGCUAAGAUCAAAGUGUAGUAUCUGUUCUUUUUUUUUUCUUUGAGAUUCUCUAAAGAAAAGGAUCGUAGAUAUAAAGGAUUCAGCCACAGCCGAGUAUUAUCUUCUUACUUGUGAGGCAAUUGCUUAUAAGAUCAAAAGCCGAUAGCCUUAGAUGCUAGUGCUUUUAAGAGUUUAGUCUUA